This 273-nucleotide unclassified non-coding RNA is filed under the name Hevea brasiliensis (rubber tree). The record is from RNAcentral. Lineage: Eukaryota; Viridiplantae; Streptophyta; Magnoliopsida; Malpighiales; Euphorbiaceae.
GAAUGGGUAACAACUCUAUCUAAUGUUCCAUGUGUAUUGAAUUCGGGUUCAAGUGUUUUAAUUUGUAUUAGGAUUUGAAUGUAGUUAAGGUGAAAUUGGCAGCGGAUUUCUUGGUCCGGCUGCCCUCGACGGAACUGGCUUACCUGGCUACACAGUCUAGUUAUUGGAAAAACAUGUGUGUGCCAAGUAUGUAUCAACCUUUUAUCUCCAUGUGCAGAUGAUGUAUCUUCUUCCACUUGUACACUUUUAUGAACACGGACUUUCAUCAACUUU